CAAACGGGUGCGGAACACGUACGCAACUUUCCCAAAACUGGUGAAUAGCCCUCCGAAAGGAGGAUUAAUACACCGUAACAUAAUGAAAUGGCAUCAUUUUAUUAUUAUAGCUCCGGCGGUUUUGGAUGGGCGUGCGCCUGAUUAGGUAGUUGGCGGGGUAACGGCCCACCAAGCCUGCGAUCAGUAACUGGUGUGAGAGCACGACCAGUCACACGGGCACUGAGACACGGGCCCG
Molecule: ribosomal RNA, 235 nt
Filed under: uncultured bacterium
Lineage: Bacteria
Description: partial 16S ribosomal RNA
Rfam family: Bacterial small subunit ribosomal RNA
Source: RNAcentral